This 164-nucleotide ribosomal RNA is filed under the name Oxytenanthera abyssinica. RNAcentral describes it as "5.8S ribosomal RNA". It matches the Rfam family "5.8S ribosomal RNA". From Rfam's summary of the family: 5.8S ribosomal RNA (5.8S rRNA) is a component of the large subunit of the eukaryotic ribosome. It is transcribed by RNA polymerase I as part of the 45S precursor that also contains 18S and 28S rRNA. The record is from RNAcentral. Lineage: Eukaryota; Viridiplantae; Streptophyta; Magnoliopsida; Poales; Poaceae.
CACACGACUCUCGGCAACGGAUAUCUCGGCUCUCGCAUCGAUGAAGAACGUAGCGAAAUGCGAUACCUGGUGUGAAUUGCAGAAUCCCGCGAACCAUCGAGUCUUUGAACGCAAGUUGCGCCCGAGGCCACCCGGCCGAGGGCACGCCUGCUUGGGCGUCACGC